Molecule: ribosomal RNA, 531 nt
Filed under: uncultured bacterium
Lineage: Bacteria
Description: bacterial SSU rRNA
Rfam family: Bacterial small subunit ribosomal RNA
Source: RNAcentral
ACGUCAGACGUCAGGGGAACGAAUGGAACUGAAGAAAGAACUCGCUUUAGCGAAAAUCUAUUCCGAAACCCUUACGACCGAUGUCCGAUGACUGACGACCGAAUAGUGGCGGACGGGUGAGUAACGCGUGGGCAACCUACCCAUAAGAGGGGGAUAACAGCUGGAAACGGCUGCUAAUACCGCAUAAGCUUUUGAGACACAUGUUUUAGAAAGUAAAGGAGGCUUUAGGCUUCCGCUUAUGGAUGGGCCCGCGUCUGAUUAGCUAGUUGGUAGGGUAGCGGCCUACCAAGGCAACGAUCAGUAGCCGGCCUGAGAGGGUGGACGGCCACACUGGGACUGAGAACGGCCCAGACUCCUACGGGAGGCAGCAGUGGGGAAUAUUGCGCAAUGGGGGAAACCCUGACGCAGCGACGCCGCGUGAGCGAAGAAGGCCUUCGGGUUGUAAAGCUCUGUUGUAAGGGACGAAAGAUCAAGGGAAUAACUGCCCUUGAAGUGACGGUACCUUACCAGCAAGCCCCGGCUAACUACGUG